UACGUAGGGUGCAAGCGUUGUCCGGAAUUAUUGGGCGUAAAGAGCUCGUAGGCGGCUUGUCACGUCGGUUGUGAAAGCCCGGGGCUUAACCCCGGGUCUGCAGUCGAUACGGGCAGGCUAGAGUGUGGUAGGGGAGAUCGGAAUUCCUGGUGUAGCGGUGAAAUGCGCAGAUAUCAGGAGGAACACCAAUAGCGAAGGCAGCUUGCUGGGACGGUACUGACGCUAAGGCGCGAAAGCGUGGGGAGCGAACAGG
Molecule: ribosomal RNA, 253 nt
Filed under: uncultured bacterium
Lineage: Bacteria
Description: partial 16S ribosomal RNA
Rfam family: Bacterial small subunit ribosomal RNA
Source: RNAcentral